GCUGGUGCUUUAUCAUAGAUACAGAUCUUUUUAGGUCCGGGCGGUGACGGCGCGUUUUGCGCAAUCGCCGUUUACAUA
The submitters of this non-coding RNA (78 nucleotides) gave its source as unclassified sequences. The record is from Rfam.